GGUGAGUAACACGUGGGUAACCUGCCCAUCAGAAGGGGAUAACACUUGGAAACAGGUGCUAAUACCGUAUAACAAUCGAAACCGCAGGUUUUGAUUUGAAAGGCGCUUUCGGGUGUCGCUGAUGGAUGGACCCGCGGUGCAUUAGCUAGUUGGUGAGGUAACGGCUCACCAAGGCGACGAUGCAUAGCCGACCUGAGAGGGUGAUCGGCCACAUUGGGACUGAGACACGGCCCAAACUCCUACGGGAGGCAGCAGUAGGGAAUCUUCGGCAAUGGACGAAAGUCUGACCGAGCAACGCCGCGUGAGUGAAGAAGGUUUUCGGAUCGUAAAACUCUGUUGUUAGAGAAGAACAAGGAUGAGAGUAACUGUUCAUCCCUUGACGGUAUCUAACCAGAAAGCCACGGCUAACUACGUGCCAGCAGCCGCGGUAAUACGUAGGUGGCAAGCGUUGUCCGGAUUUAUUGGGCGUAAAGCGAGCGCAGGCGGUUUCUUAAGUCUGAUGUGAAAGCCCCCGGCUCAACCGGGGAGGGUCAUUGGAAACUGGGAGACUUGAGUGCAGAAGAGGAGAGUGGAAUUCCAUGUGUAGCGGUGAAAUGCGUAGAUAUAUGGAGGAACACCAGUGGCGAAGGCGGCUCUCUGGUCUGUAACUGACGCUCAGGCUCGAAAGCGUG
This 671-nucleotide ribosomal RNA is filed under the name Enterococcus hirae. Its description in RNAcentral is "bacterial SSU rRNA". It matches the Rfam family "Bacterial small subunit ribosomal RNA", at positions 105 to 763 of the family's 1533-position model. Lineage: Bacteria; Bacillati; Bacillota; Bacilli; Lactobacillales; Enterococcaceae. The record is from RNAcentral.